Molecule: long non-coding RNA, 156 nt
Organism: Haliotis rubra (blacklip abalone)
Lineage: Eukaryota; Metazoa; Mollusca; Gastropoda; Lepetellida; Haliotidae
Exons: 4
Source: RefSeq, a predicted model, not a curated record
UGAUGUCUGGAUUAAAAAUAAAUAUUGAUAAGACUAAAGCUAUCUGGAUUGGAUCUAAAGCAGGUUGUGGUGAUAAACUAUGUCAGGAUUUGAAUAUUGAAUGGCGAAAAAUGAAUUUGUUGUUCUGGGAAUUAUACUUAAUGCUGAACUGAAGGA